GACGAACGCUGGCGGCGUGCUUAACACAUGCAAGUCGAGCGGUAAGGCCCUUUCGGGGGUACGACGAGCGGCGAACGGGUGAGUAACACGUGGGUGACCUGCCCUUAGCUCUGGGAUAAGCCUGGGAAACUGGGUCUAAUACCGGAUAUGACUCCAUAACGCAUGUUGUGGGGUGGAAAGCCUUGUGCGGCUAGGGAUGGGCCCGCGGCCUAUCAGCUUGUUGGUGGGGUGAUGGCCACCAAGGCGACGACGGGUAGCCGGCCUGAGAGGGCGACCGGCCACACUGGGACUGAGACACGGCCCAGACUCCUACGGGAGGGCAGCAGUGGGGAAUCUUGCGCAAUGGGCGAAAGCCUGACGCAGCGACGCCGCGUGGGGA
RNAcentral lists this ribosomal RNA (379 nucleotides) under uncultured bacterium. RNAcentral's name for it is "bacterial SSU rRNA". It matches the Rfam family "Bacterial small subunit ribosomal RNA", at positions 28 to 407 of the family's 1533-position model. The record is from RNAcentral.